GAUGAACGCUGACAGAAUGCUUAACACAUGCAAGUCAACUUGAAUUUGGGUUUUUUAACUUAGAUUUGGGUGGCGGACGGGUGAGUAACGCGUAAAGAACUUGCCUCACAGCUAGGGACAACAUUUGGAAACGAAUGCUAAUACCUGAUAUUAUGAUUUUAAGGCAUCUUAGAAUUAUGAAAGCUAUACGCGCUGUGAGAGAGCUUUGCGUCCCAUUAGCUAGUUGGAGAGGUAACGGCUCACCAAGGCGAUGAUGGGUAGCCGGCCUGAGAGGGUGAACGGCCACAAGGGGACUGAGACACGGCCCUUACUCCUACGGGAGGCAGCAGUGGGGAAUAUUGGACAAUGGACCAAGAGUCUGAUCCAGCAAUUCUGUGUGCACGAUGACGUUUUUCGGAAUGUAAAGUGCUUUCAGUUGGGAAGAAAAAAAUGACGGUACCAACAGAAGAAGUGACGGCUAAAUACGUGCCAGCAGCCGCGGUAAUACGUAUGUCACAAGCGUUAUCCGGAUUUAUUGGGCGUAAAGCGCGUCUAGGUGGUUAUGUAAGUCUGAUGUGAAAAUGCAGGGCUCAACUCUGUAUUGCGUUGGAAACUGUGUAACUAGAGUACUGGAGAGGUAAGCGGAACUACAAGUGUAGAGGUGAAAUUCGUAGAUAUUUGUAGGAAUGCCGAUGGGGAAGCCAGCUUACUGGACAGAUACUGACGCUGAAGCGCGAAAGCGUGGGUAGCAAACAGG
RNAcentral lists this ribosomal RNA (736 nucleotides) under uncultured Fusobacterium sp. RNAcentral describes it as "bacterial SSU rRNA". It matches the Rfam family "Bacterial small subunit ribosomal RNA", at positions 28 to 776 of the family's 1533-position model. The record is from RNAcentral. Lineage: Bacteria; Fusobacteriati; Fusobacteriota; Fusobacteriia; Fusobacteriales; Fusobacteriaceae.